Molecule: unclassified non-coding RNA, 428 nt
Filed under: Hevea brasiliensis (rubber tree)
Lineage: Eukaryota; Viridiplantae; Streptophyta; Magnoliopsida; Malpighiales; Euphorbiaceae
Source: RNAcentral
UUUUUGUAAAAAAAAAAAGUUCAAGGUUUUUGUCACUUCUCUAGCAAUAUCUCCAUUAGGUAGGAUUUCAUUGGCCCAUGCACUUAUUUGUUGAGGCUUUUGAUCCAAUUUUGAAUUGUUGCUAUACACACAGAUCAAUCAUAAAAGAAACUUUUGAUUCAUUUCAAUUAAGCUUCCUUUCUAUUAAUCUUCAAGUUCUUGGAUAGAAGGAAAUGAUUUAGUUUCAGAGCCAAAGAUUGUAGUUCAAGAGUGAUUGAACGUAAACUUAGGGGCACUACAAAAGUAUCAUAAAACUAGUUUGCCUUUAUACUUGGUAGAUCUACAAUAGAGUCUAUCUUUCUGUUAAGAGUAUUAAUGGAAAUUUAUUGAGAGAUGAAGAAGGAUCUCCCACAUGAUAUUUAUUAACCUAGAAAAGGCAUAUGAUAAAG